Molecule: ribosomal RNA, 254 nt
Filed under: uncultured bacterium
Lineage: Bacteria
Description: partial 16S ribosomal RNA
Rfam family: Bacterial small subunit ribosomal RNA
Source: RNAcentral
UACGAAGGGGGCUAGCGUUGUUCGGAAUCACUGGGCGUAAAGCGCACGUAGGCGGGUCGUUAAGUCAGGGGUGAAAUCCCGAGGCUCAACCUCGGAACUGCCUUUGAUACUGGCGACCUUUGAGUCCGGGAGAGGUGAGUGGAACUCCGAGUGUAGAGGUGAAAUUCGUAGAUAUUCGGAAGAACACCAGUGGCGAAGGCGACUCACUGGCCCGAUACUGACGCUGAGGCGCGAAAGCGUGGGGAGCAAACAGG